RNAcentral lists this unclassified non-coding RNA (374 nucleotides) under Hevea brasiliensis (rubber tree). The record is from RNAcentral. Lineage: Eukaryota; Viridiplantae; Streptophyta; Magnoliopsida; Malpighiales; Euphorbiaceae.
GAAGAAGAGGAGGAGGAGGAAGUAGUUGAGGAGCCUGAAGAAAAGGAUGAAGCUGCAGCUGCCAAUGGAAAGGCCGCAGAUGCAUCUGCAACUGGUGGUGAUGAUAUGCAAAUAGAUGAUGAAAGGAAAAAACAUUCUGAGCUUCUCGCUCUUCCUCCACACGGAUCUGAAGUUUACAUUGGUGGCAUCCUCGAUGAUGUAACUGAAGAAGAUUUAAAGAAGUUUUGUGAACCAGCUGGGGAAGUUACUGAGAUUAGGGUGAUGAAAGGGAAGAAUUCAUCACAGAACAAAGGCUAUGCCUUUGUUACCUUCAGAACUAAGGAAUUGGCUGCAAAGGCCGUGGAAGAUCUGAAUGACACUGAAUUGAAGGGAAA